This 337-nucleotide unclassified non-coding RNA is filed under the name soil metagenome. RNAcentral describes it as "partial contains 5.8S ribosomal RNA, internal transcribed spacer 2, and large subunit ribosomal RNA". The stretch from base 1 to 120 matches the Rfam family "5.8S ribosomal RNA", at positions 35 to 154 of the family's 154-position model. The record is from RNAcentral.
GAUGAAGAACGUAGCGAAAUGCGAUAAGUAAUGUGAAUUGCAGAAUUCAGUGAAUCAUCGAAUCUUUGAACGCACAUUGCACCCGCCAGUAUUCUGGCGGGCAUGCCUGUUCGAGCGUCAUUUCAACCAUCAAGCCCCCGGGCUUGUGUUGGGGACCUGCGGCUGCCGCAGGCCCUGAAAAGCAGUGGCGGGCUCGCUGUCACACCGAGCGUAGUAGAUUUUAUCUCGCUCUGGGCGUGCUGCGGGUUCCGGCCGUUAAACCACCCUUUUAACCCAAGGUUGACCUCGGAUCAGGUAGGAAGACCCGCUGAACUUAAGCAUAUCAAUAAGCGGAGGA